GAUGAACGCUGGCGGCAGGCCUACACAUGCAAGUCGAACGGCAGCACAGCAGUAGCAAUACUGUGGGUGGCGAGUGGCGGACGGGUGAGGAAUACAUCGGAAUCUACCUUGUCGUGGGGGAUAACGUAGGGAAACUUACGCUAAUACCGCGUACGAACUAUGGUUGAAAGCGGCGGACCGCAAGGCGUCGCGCGAUUGGAUGAGCCGAUGUCCGAUUAGCUAGUUGGCGGGGUAAAGGCCCACCAAGGCGACGAUCGGUAGCUGGUCUGAGAGGAUGAUCAGCCACACUGGAACUGAGACACGGUCCAGACUCCUACGGGAGGCAGCAGUGGGGAAUAUUGGACAAUGGGGGCAAACCCUGAUCCAGCCAUGCCGCGUGUGUGAAGAAGGCC
Molecule: ribosomal RNA, 392 nt
Filed under: uncultured bacterium
Lineage: Bacteria
Description: bacterial SSU rRNA
Rfam family: Bacterial small subunit ribosomal RNA
Source: RNAcentral